Molecule: long non-coding RNA, 924 nt
Filed under: Rattus norvegicus (Norway rat)
Lineage: Eukaryota; Metazoa; Chordata; Mammalia; Rodentia; Muridae
Description: long non-coding RNA NONRATT033148
Source: RNAcentral
CGGUCAACUGACACCUGGUGCAUAAACCGCACAUGUGCAGUACCGCUGUUCACCACUAGAGGGAGCCCUAGCAAGGGGACAAGCCUGCACAUGCGCAGUAAGUUGUCGACAUCCAGACAAGGCUGGAUGUCGGCGCCAUCUUUGUUUCGCCGCGCCGCUCUCUACACACCCAGAAGAGGCCAAUCUUCCGCAGUGACCACCUGGUUCACAGAGGCUCUUUCCCACCAGGCAGUAGAUGUGGUGCUGAGCCCCAUGUUCGCUGGCUGAAACUUCGAAGACAUAUGCAAUACACAGCAAGGUCUCCUGUGUGUCUCGGUUGGUGACCACCUGCAGGAGAGAAGAAGGUGAGGGUCAAAACCCUGGAUAGGGAAGCCAUUGGCACCACCCACUGAUGCACUCCCUUAUGGGCAUCUGCCCCAUGUCGUACCUGCAGGAUGGUGAAGUUCUCCAGCACGCUGUUCAUCAUGUACUUCUCUGGUAAGUGCUUCAGCUUGUGGAUAAAGUUGAUCAUGUACUCACAGAGUGGGGACCGGUGGAUGCGGUACAAAUAGUGACCAUUCUCAUAGCGAGCAAACUCUGUCUGUGGAAUCCCAGGGACACAGAGGCUUAGAAUCCCUUCACCUCCAGCCCAGGCCCAUCCUAGGAGGUUCCUGGAUAUGAAGUCAGGCCUCUCCCCUUUGUCAGUGACAAGACAGGCAGACACUUCCAGGAGAGGAAAAGGAAAAGACCCGGAAGUAGCAGCAAUGAGAUGGGCAGGAGGGCAGGCGUUGCACACUAGGGGUGGGGGAGGGUACCAGCACCUUUGAGAUGGAGCGGCCAAGGGCAUGAACCUCGGUGCUGGAUGCUGUUGGCCCCGGAGCUAGAGGGAUGACCUGUGGGAUGACGACUGCAUAGCGACAUGGGCACCUCGAUGCGUUUAAUGAA